UAAAAUGUAGCAUAUCCUAAUGCACUUUAUUUACACUAAAGUGAUACUUUAAUUUAAAAAGUCAUUUUAA
This 70-nucleotide transfer RNA is filed under the name Pseudocleopatra dartevellei. RNAcentral describes it as "tRNA-Val". Lineage: Eukaryota; Metazoa; Mollusca; Gastropoda; Paludomidae. The record is from RNAcentral.